Molecule: long non-coding RNA, 1252 nt
Organism: Sinocyclocheilus grahami
Lineage: Eukaryota; Metazoa; Chordata; Actinopteri; Cypriniformes; Cyprinidae
Exons: 3
Source: RefSeq, a predicted model, not a curated record
UUAGGUGUUGAUGUCAGAAUCCCAUGUAAUAAUGUUUCACAUUCGAUGUCUACCUGUUUGUGGGAUUGAUGAUCAUGUUCCUGGUCCUUCGUACUUUCCACAAGCUUGCAGAUGUGCACGGCUGGACUGCUUUCUUCCAGCUGCCGAGCUACGAGGAGGACGAUGAGGAUAAAGAACCAAUAAUAGAACAAGAGCCUGACGAUGAAUCACCUGAGGCUGAGAAGGCCUCAAUUAAGCCUCUGGAUCCCAACUGUCAAGUGUCCUACAACUCCAUCAAUAGAUAAAACACCAGAUCUCUCCACAUUCAGAUAAGGUCAAGACAAUCGAGUAUGAAUAUGUGCAAUACAAUACGCCUCACUGUUGGACAGAACCACGCUUCUGAUGCUUUGAAGGAACGAAGCAUCUGAGCAGAACAUUUUCAUGAACCAAAUUAUAUUUGGGGGGGGGUUCUGUUUGGAGUUGCCAAAUCUGAUCUUCAAGACUAUAGGGAUGUUGACAUUGCUUUAGGAAGUGGAAAACUUGCUCAUUGUGUCCUAAGUGUGAAUCUUCUUUAGUGUUGUUUUGUGUAGGAUUCCUAACUGAUGAUGCUUUUCAGAUUAUUAAAUGACUGUUUUUUUGUUGUUGUUGCAUGGACCAAGACUCCUCUGGAUCAUAGAAAAAGGAAGAGAAUGCUGCUGCUUGCCACCCGUUCAAUACUCUGUUAUUCAAUGAGUUUGAAAUGAAUUGUUUUCAUAGCUAGUUAAUGGUGGUUCUCGAUGUCCAGUCAUGUGGAGAACUUCAGAUGCACUUUAUAAUUGGCUUUUUAUUUAGGUUUGUGCAACCAUUGGACAGCCAGUGAUUAUACUGGACACAAUCUCUUUGUCUUUAUUGUAGUACUUUAUAUUCUUUGUAUCAUUGCGAUUGUAUAUUCAAUGUUGGAUGGUAGGGAACAAAAAGUUCUCUGAUGUUCACAGUCAGAAGAACAAAAUGUGUUUUAAGAAAUGCAUGCACAGAAAAAUAAAAUAAAAUUUGUUUUGGUAAUUUUGUGGCUUGAUGCAUUUGCAUGGGCAGGUGUGAUGAAAUAUAAGUCUGUGUAGCUGUGGAGUUAAAGGAAGUUUAUAUUUUACACACCCUGUUUUAUCGCUCUCUUUAAAUAGGUUUUAAAAAAAGCUGUAAUAAACGUGUCAGUAUAUAGAUAAGUUGAAAUAACCUACCACUCAAUCAAAAUAAUCCUUCUCUUCUAUAAGCGGAAUAAAGUUCCCUUUUGAACGGU